AAGAACGCUGGCGGCAGGCCUAAGACAUGCAAGUCGUACGCGAACGACCUUUCGGGGUUAAGUAGAGUGGCGAACGGGUUAGUAACGCGUGGGAACAUACACAGCACAGGGGGAUAACCAUUGGAAACGAUGGCUAAUACCGCAUACGCCCUAUUGGGGAAAGAUUUAUCGGUGUUGGAUUGGCCCGCGUUAGAUUAGCUAGUUGGUGGGGUAAUGGCUCACCAAGGCGACGAUUUAUAGCUGGUUUGAGAGGAUGAUCAGCAACACUGGAACUGAGACACGGUCCAGACUCCUACGGGAGGCAGCAGUCGGGAAUAUUGUGCAAUGGGGGCAACCCUGACACAGCCAUGCCGCGUGAGUGAAGAAGGCCUUAGGGUUGUAAAGCUCUUUCAGAUGUGAGGAUGAUGACGAUAGCAUCAGAAGAAGCUCCGGCUAACUUCGUGCCAGCAGCCGCGGUAAUACGAAGGGAGCUAGCGUUGUUCGGAAUUACUGGGCGUAAAGGGCGUGUAGGCGGAUUAUCAAGUUAGGGGUGAAAUCCCGGGG
RNAcentral lists this ribosomal RNA (543 nucleotides) under uncultured bacterium. RNAcentral's name for it is "bacterial SSU rRNA". It matches the Rfam family "Bacterial small subunit ribosomal RNA", at positions 29 to 607 of the family's 1533-position model. The record is from RNAcentral.